Molecule: ribosomal RNA, 450 nt
Filed under: uncultured bacterium
Lineage: Bacteria
Description: partial 16S ribosomal RNA
Rfam family: Bacterial small subunit ribosomal RNA
Source: RNAcentral
GUAGGGAAUCUUCCACAAUGGACGAAAGUCUGAUGGAGCAACGCCGCGUGAGUGAAGAAGGUCUUCGGAUCGUAAAACUCUGUUGUUAGAGAAGAACGUGCAUGAUAGUAACUGAUCAUGUAAUUACGGUAUCUAACCAGAAAGCCAUGGCUAACUACGUGCCAGCAGCCGCGGUAAAACGUAGGUGGCAAGCGUUGUCCGGAUUUAUUGGGCGUAAAGGGAACGCAGGCGGUUUUUUAAGUCUGAUGUGAAAGCCUUCGGCUUAACCGAAGAAUAGCAUUGGAAACUGGAGGACUUGAGUGCAGAAGAGGAGAGUGGAAUUCCAUGUGUAGCGGUGAAUUGCGUAGAUAUAUGGAGGAACACCGGUGGCGAGAGCGGCUCUCUGGUCUGUAACUGACGCUGAGGUUCGAAAGCGUGGGUAGCAAACAGGAUUAGAAACCCUAGUAGUCC